RNAcentral lists this ribosomal RNA (482 nucleotides) under uncultured bacterium. RNAcentral describes it as "partial 16S ribosomal RNA". It matches the Rfam family "Bacterial small subunit ribosomal RNA", at positions 28 to 507 of the family's 1533-position model. The record is from RNAcentral.
GACGAACGCUGGCGGCGUGCCUAACACAUGCAAGUCGAACGGAACUGUUUUGAAAGAUUUCUUCGGAAUGAAUUUGAUUUAGUUUAGUGGCGGACGGGUGAGUAACGCGUGAGUAACCUGCCUUCAAGAGGGGAAUAACAUUCUGAAAAGAAUGCUAAUACCGCAUGACAUAUCGGAACCACAUGGUUUUGAUAUCAAAGAUUUUAUCGCUUGAAGAUGGACUCGCGUCCGAUUAGUUAGUUGGUGAGGUAACGGCUCACCAAGACCGCGAUCGGUAGCCGGACUGAGAGGUUGUACGGCCACAUUGGGACUGAGACACGGCCCAGACUCCUACGGGAGACAGCAGUGGGGGAUAUUGCGCAAUGGGGGCAACCCUGACGCAGCAACGCCGCGUGAAGGAUGAAGGUUUUCGGAUUGUAAACUUCUUUUAUUAAGGACGAAAAAUGACGGUACUUAAUGAAUAAGCUCCGGCUAACUACGUG